Molecule: small nucleolar RNA, 73 nt
Organism: Plasmodium vivax (malaria parasite P. vivax)
Lineage: Eukaryota; Apicomplexa; Aconoidasida; Haemosporida; Plasmodiidae
Source: Rfam
UUAAAAUGAUGAAACCUAUUCAGUUCUGCUUCUGAUAAGUAAUUGAAGAUACAUUGCCCAGCUGAUUUGAUAU